UAAGGAGAGACAAGGCUGCAAGGGGCCCCAAAAGGGGCAUGGCCAAAGACUUGAGAAGGAAACAAGAGAAUUAGUUAAAAUACUUUUUCACCCAUAGUCUAUUAUCCUCUUAGUGACCCCCAGGUUUUAGUAAAGUUAGUUACAUGCUAUGUUCAUUUUAGCUGUGCUUUCAGGAAUUAAAGGUUAAACCUGCAUCCACACUUGGAAUGGCGUAGAUUGGGUGAGCCCUGGCUUUAUGGGAAGGAAAUGACCAGAUGGCAACUAUGACGGGCAGAGGCCAGAGCAGUAGUAUGUAAUGGGAGGGACCACCAAGUACUUGGAUGAAUCUGUGGAUGUGGUAUCCACAGGAGUCUCAGAAAUUUCAGAGAAGAUGAACUCAGCGGAAGCUGGGGACCGAGUAUUGCUGUGGAGGAUAAGGGCUGGCACUUUGCUCACUGGGUACUGAAGGGAAGGAUAACAAAUUUUAAUUGGUUGAAUUCAAUGCAGGUACAUGGUUGAUUGAAAUAUUUAUUAGCAUAAUCCUUUGGGUGAAAGAAUUAAGAAAUAUGUUUCCCAUUCAUAUACUGUGGCCCAGGAAUUCUACAUUUUAUCAGUGGUUGUCUUUUAAGCAGUGAUCCUAAGUGACUUAUUUGCUACUUUUAGAUUUUUUUGAAUUUCUACUUUCAGGAAAUAAAGGAUGAGUACAUUGUAAUUAGAUAUAAUACAUUUCAUUCUUUAAAAAAUAUAGGCUUAAAAUUCUAGAGUACUAACCCAUGUGGAUUAUCCAAAAUCCAAAAAGAAAAGUGAGAAGUUCUGGAGCUGGAGGCCUUGGUCCUGCAGUGUCCUAGGUACGCCCUGCUGCCCUGACCAGGCAAUGGUCAGGAUCAGUUAAGGAAGGAAAGUCAAAGUACUGCUUUGAAAUCUUCACCUCUAAUUCCAGUGGAAAUUCUGUCUUUUAUUAUCUUCACCUACUUCAUCUCAUUUUAAUUCUUUUCUAAUUCCUUUGCAAUUCAGUCCACAUUACACAUCACCACUGUCCAGAAAACGUGCCUUCCCUUGGGAAUGAGCACAGCUCCCAUCACACCUCAGAGAGGUAUAUUGCGUAGGUCUUCACCCAAGUGCCAUUGAUUUCCUAUUAAGUUUUACCUUUUUAAAAUUUUGUGGGUACAUAGUACAUAGGGGUAUAUGAGAUAUUUUGAUACAGGCAUAUGAUGCGUAAUAAUCACGUCAGGGUAAAUGGGGUAUCCAUCCCCUCAAGUCUUUAUCCUUUGUGUCACAAACAACCCAAUUAUAUUCUUUCAGUUAUUUAAAAAUGUAUAUUUGAAUUGUUAUUUACUAUAGUUACCCUGUUGUGCUACCGAAUACUAGAUAUUCAUUCUAUUUUUUGUACCCAUCAACCAUCCCCACUUCCCCUCCCCACCAGCUCCCA
RNAcentral lists this long non-coding RNA (1408 nucleotides) under Homo sapiens (human). RNAcentral describes it as "HSALNT0115561". The record is from RNAcentral. Lineage: Eukaryota; Metazoa; Chordata; Mammalia; Primates; Hominidae.